GUCUAUGGCUAUACCACCCAAAAUGCGUCCCUUCUCAUCUGAUCUCCGAAGCUAAGCAGGGUUGGGCUUGGCUAGUGUUAGGAUUGGAGGCCACAUGGGAAUACUUAAUACUAUAGGCU
Molecule: ribosomal RNA, 119 nt
Organism: Bison bison bison
Lineage: Eukaryota; Metazoa; Chordata; Mammalia; Artiodactyla; Bovidae
Source: Ensembl